Molecule: ribosomal RNA, 551 nt
Filed under: uncultured bacterium
Lineage: Bacteria
Description: partial 16S ribosomal RNA
Rfam family: Bacterial small subunit ribosomal RNA
Source: RNAcentral
UGGGGAAUAUUGCACAAUGGGCGCAAGCCUGAUGCAGCCAUGCCGCGUGUGUGAAGAAGGCCUUCGGGUUGUAAAGCACUUUCAGCGAGGAGGAAGGUGGUGAGCUUAAUACGCUCAUCAAUUGACGUUACUCGCAGAAGAAGCACCGGCUAACUCCGUGCCAGCAGCCGCGGUAAUACGGAGGGUGCAAGCGUUAAUCGGAAUUACUGGGCGUAAAGCGCACGCAGGCGGUUUGUUAAGUCAGAUGUGAAAUCCCCGGGCUCAACCUGGGAACUGCAUUUGAAACUGGCAAGCUAGAGUCUCGUAGAGGGGGGUAGAAUUCCAGGUGUAGCGGUGAAAUGCGUAGAGAUCUGGAGGAAUACCGGUGGCGAAGGCGGCCCCCCUGGACGAAGACUGACGCUCAGGUGCGAAAAGCGUGGGGAGCAAAACAGGAUUAGAUACCCUGGUAGUCCACGCUGUAAACGAUGUCGAUUUGGAGGUUGUGCCCUUGAGGCGUGGCUUCCGGAGCUAACGCGUUAAAUCGACCGCCUGGGGAGUACGGCCGCAAGGUU